UCGGCUUCGCGGGCCAAUCAGAGGAAGGCCGGGGCGUGGCUUCCUGGUUGCCUAAGCUCGCGAGGGAAGAUGAAUGGAAGCGGGCGGGGUGGUUCUCACAGCAGUGAAUGAGGAAGCGCGCGUGGAAGGCAAAGCGAGUGGCGAUUGUGACGUCAGCAAAGGAGGAUUUGCAUAGCUGUGGGGCACCUUUGCAGUGGAGAGGAGCUCAUCACAGAGUCAGCUUGACACUGAGGCCGAACACAGAACUGAUCUGACCUGCAGCAGGGAGUUCCUCAGUUCUUCAUUGCAUGAGGGUGGCCACAACAGCAGCUGCAACUCAGAAGCCGCCUUAUUUCUUUGCUUGAACUCCAUAGUUUGACACUGAGACCAACGCAGAACUCCCUGCCUUCAAGCUGAUCUGACCUGCAGCAGGGAGUUCCUCAGUUCUUCAUGGCCCCGCUUGGGCCAACUGCAUGAGGGUGGCCACAACAGCAGCUGCAACUCAGGAGCCGCCUUAUUUCUUUGCUUGAACUCCAUAGUUUGAUACUGAGGCCGAACGCAGAACUCCCUGCCUUCAAGCUGAUCUGACCUGCAGCAGGGAGUUCCUCAGUUCUUCAUUGCCCCGCUUGGGCCAACUGCAUGAGGGUGGCCACAACAGCAGCUGCAACUCAGAAGCCGCCUUAUUUCUUUGCUUUUCCCCCUUCCUAACAUUGUAACUAAUCCCCCCAAUAAAAAGUAUCAAUUGGUUGUAA
Molecule: non-coding RNA, 731 nt
Organism: Anolis sagrei ordinatus
Lineage: Eukaryota; Metazoa; Chordata; Lepidosauria; Squamata; Anolidae
Source: RefSeq, a predicted model, not a curated record